This 250-nucleotide ribosomal RNA is filed under the name uncultured bacterium. Its description in RNAcentral is "partial 16S ribosomal RNA". It matches the Rfam family "Bacterial small subunit ribosomal RNA", at positions 526 to 779 of the family's 1533-position model. The record is from RNAcentral.
CGUAGGUGGCAAGCGUUGUCCGGAAUUAUUGGGCGUAAAGCGCGCGCAGGCGGCCUUUAAGUCUGAUGUGAAAGCCCCGGCUCAACCUGGGAGGCCAUUGGAAACUGGAAGGCUUGAGUACAGAAGAGAAGAGUGGAAUUCCACGUGUAGCGGUGAAAUGCGUAGAGAUGUGGAGGAACACCAGUGGCGAAGGCGACUCUUUGGUCUGUAACUGACGCUGAGGCGCGAAAGCGUGGGAGCAAACAGGAUU